Molecule: ribosomal RNA, 369 nt
Filed under: uncultured organism
Description: bacterial SSU rRNA
Rfam family: Bacterial small subunit ribosomal RNA
Source: RNAcentral
CGUAGGUGGCGAGCGUUGUCCGGAUUUACUGGGCGUAAAGGGAGCGUAGGCGGUCUUUUAAGUGGGGUGUGAAAUCCCUGGGCUUAACCCAGGAAUUGCAUUCCAUACUGGGAGACUAGAGUGCAGGAGAGGAAAGUGGAAUUCCAAGUGUAGCGGUGAAAUGCGUAGAGAUUUGGAGGAACACCAGUGGCGAAGGCGACUUUCUGGACUGUAACUGACGCUGAGGCUCGAGAGCGUGGGGAGCAAACAGGAUUAGAUACCCUGGUAGUCCACGCUGUAAACGAUGAAUACUAGGUGUAGGGGGCGAAGCCCUCUGUGCCGCAGUUAACACAUUAAGUAUUCCGCCUGGGGAGUACGAUCGCAAGAUUA